GAUGAGCGCUGGCGGCGUGCCUAACACAUGCAAGUCGAACGGGCUACUUCGGUAGCCAGUGGCAAACGGGUGCGUAACACGUAGGUAAUCUACCCAGGAGACGGGGGACAACGGAUGGAAACGUCCGCUAAUACCCGAUGACGUCGAGAGACGAAAGGCGCGAGCCACUACUGGAGGAGCCUGCGGCCUAUCAGGUAGUUGGUGGGGUAAGAGCCUACCAAGCCGACGACGGGUAGGGGGUGUGAGAGCAUGACCCCCCACACGGGGACUGAGACACGGCCCCGACUCCUACGGGAGGCAGCAGUGAGGGAUAUUGGGCAAUGGGCGCAAGCCUGACCCAGCGACGCCGCGUGGAGGACGAAGGGCUUCGGCUCGUAAACUCCUUUUCCCGUGGACGAGAAGCGGACGGUACACGGGGGAAUAAGUCUCGGCUAACUACGUGCCAGCAGCCGCGGU
Molecule: ribosomal RNA, 456 nt
Filed under: uncultured bacterium
Lineage: Bacteria
Description: bacterial SSU rRNA
Rfam family: Bacterial small subunit ribosomal RNA
Source: RNAcentral